RNAcentral lists this ribosomal RNA (253 nucleotides) under uncultured bacterium. RNAcentral describes it as "partial 16S ribosomal RNA". It matches the Rfam family "Bacterial small subunit ribosomal RNA", at positions 524 to 776 of the family's 1533-position model. The record is from RNAcentral.
UACGAAGGGUGCAAGCGUUACUCGGAAUUACUGGGCGUAAAGCGUGCGUAGGUGGUUUGUUAAGUCUGAUGUGAAAGCCCUGGGCUCAACCUGGGAACUGCAUUUGUGACUGCAAGGCUAGAGUACGGCAGAGGGGGGUAGAAUUCCACGUGUAGCAGUGAAAUGCGUAGAUAUGUGGAGGAAUACCGAUGGCGAAGGCAGCCCCCUGGGUCGAUACUGACGCUCAUGCACGAAAGCGUGGGGAGCAAACAGG